CUAAAAUGCAAUUAUUGUAAAACCAUAUAAAUAUACAAGGUGUGUAAUCUCAUUAUAGACACACAUAGUUUACAUAUUUUUACAGUAACUAAAUAAAAGAGGCGGUGUCAUGUCCUAUUUAAAUUCUGCAUCAAUUUGACCAUAGUCAUGCAUUAUGUGCAUUGCUCAUUAAAAGUAAGAAAGAAUAAUAUAGAUAGAAAGUGGCACUUCGCAGUUAUAAUGAAAUUGGGGGAAAAAGUGAUAUGAGAAUGAAUUCCUUGAAGCAUCUGGAAGAAUGAAAUUCCUUCUCGUAUAAAAAGGAAUUGCAAGCUCACCUCGGGAUUUAAGUCAUUGACUUUCUCGAUUGCAUCUUCAACAUUACCACUUUGUACUGCCUUCUUAACGGCCAUCCGAUCAGUUAUUGUAGCAAGAUCAAUGAUACGCUCAGUUCCAGACUCCUUGCGAAAUUUCUCUGCAGCGUCAACAAAGCCCUCGGUAACAAGGAAAUUCAUUACCAAUUUAUUCAUGUCUUCUUUCCUAAUCUUGACAUUGUUAAGCUUUUUUUCCCACUCUUCCCUUGUUAUCACUUUCUUUGAUGCCGCCUUUACACAUGUAUUUCAAAGAUGAAAAUCAUUAGUUUACCAUUACCAUGAAACACAUGGGAAUCACUACAUUUCCAUCACCCAUGAUGCACAACAUUGUCUACAACCAGUUCAAAUAUAGAAACACUUCUAAGAAAAAGACUAUUUGACUCUUUAUAAAACACACUUCCGUCUUAUGCAAAAUGACAGAAAUUGAUGCAUCAUUUUGUUUUGCUAAACGUUUACAUGC
Molecule: long non-coding RNA, 810 nt
Filed under: Medicago truncatula (barrel medic)
Lineage: Eukaryota; Viridiplantae; Streptophyta; Magnoliopsida; Fabales; Fabaceae
Description: lncRNA gene7523
Source: RNAcentral